GAUGAACGCUGGCGGCGUGCUUAACACAUGCAAGUCGAACGAUGAAGCUGGAGCUUGCUCCGGUGGAUUAGUGGCGAACGGGUGAGUAACACGUGAGCAAUCUGCCCUUGACUCUGGGAUAACUGCGGGAAACUGUAGCUAAUACCGGAUACUUUCACUGGAAGGCAUCUUCUGGUGAAGAAAGAAUUUCGGUCAAGGAUGAGCUCGCGGCCUAUCAGCUUGUUGGUGAGGUAACGGCUCACCAAGGCGACGACGGGUAGCCGGCCUGAGAGGGUGACCGGCCACACUGGGACUGGGACACGGCCCAGACUCCUACGGGAGGCAGCAGUGGGGAAUAUUGCACAAUGGGCGCAAGCCUGAUGCAGCAACGCCGCGUGAGGGAUGAAGGCCUUCGGGUUGUAAACCUCUUUUAGCAGGGAAGAAGCGAAAGUGACGGUACCUGCAGAAAAAGCACCGGCUAACUACGUGCCAGCCGCCGCGGUAA
This 484-nucleotide ribosomal RNA is filed under the name uncultured bacterium. Its description in RNAcentral is "partial 16S ribosomal RNA". It matches the Rfam family "Bacterial small subunit ribosomal RNA", at positions 28 to 523 of the family's 1533-position model. The record is from RNAcentral.